This 64-nucleotide transfer RNA is filed under the name Phagocata gracilis. RNAcentral describes it as "tRNA-Ile". Lineage: Eukaryota; Metazoa; Platyhelminthes; Tricladida; Planariidae. The record is from RNAcentral.
GUCAUAAGGACUGCAAUAGCAGAUUACUCCGAUAAAGUAAAUUUUAAGAUAAACUUCUAUGAUA